Non-coding RNA from Erinaceus europaeus (western European hedgehog), 134 nucleotides. NCBI's taxonomy places the organism in Eukaryota, Metazoa, Chordata, Mammalia, Eulipotyphla, Erinaceidae. The record is from Rfam.
CUGCUACCAGUUAAGCCAACCAUGCUGCCCUUCUCAUGGUGUCCAGAGUGCAGUGGCUGCAAAUAGCAGUUUCCUGGGUAGUAUGUGUGGCCUGUUGCUUGUACGGGCUGCCCUAAGGGACCCUGGAGACAGCC